Long non-coding RNA from Ipomoea triloba (trilobed morning glory), 701 nucleotides. RefSeq lists it as uncharacterized. The record is from RefSeq and is a predicted model, not a curated record. NCBI's taxonomy places the organism in Eukaryota, Viridiplantae, Streptophyta, Magnoliopsida, Solanales, Convolvulaceae. The transcript is spliced from 3 exons.
AGCUAAUGGUGAGUGGAAAGGUUAUGCAAAAAUGAGGAACAUGAUGACAAACUUGUCAACUAAGAAAGAGGUGGGGAGAAGUUGGGUUGAGGUUAGGAAUGAAGUAAAUGAUUUUGUUGCGGGAGACAAGUGACAAGACCAACUCAAAGAAUAUUGGGGUGAAUGAUAAAGGUCAAUUCUCAAAUAUGAAAUACCCAGACUGAAGAUCCUAGAAAUGUAGUAUGCUAUAUGAAUGUGGCUUGCCAUGUUCCUGAUUUGGAUUGCUUUCUACAUAAAAUCCUAGAAAUCUUAUGAUUCCUUGUUGAUGGGUCACCAACAUAAGGUAUGGGAGUCCUGUCAAUGGUUGAUUCGUUUCAUCAAAGUACCGGUGGAAGUCAUUUAUGAUGAUGCAGCCACAGAGUAUGCAAUCAGCUCCUCCACAACCAACUGAAUGGAGAUGUUGAUAAAGAGUUGCAGCCAGAUAAGGUUAAAGGGAUUCUGCCAACUUUAGAUGGGAAGCUUUUAGUUGAACAGGGAGGAAGUAUAUAUAGUUCUUGCCUAUCAUCAUGUACAAGCAGUCAUCUUGUGGUAGGAUCCAUAAAUCAAGAGGAGUUAAGGUCAACCAUGUUCUGAUGUUCUACAAUUUGUUGAUGCCAAAUGCAGGCUUAUUAUCUGUUGUAUAUUAACAAGUUUUUCAUUUGGAUUAACUCGUUUUAGAUUAA